GACGAACGCUGGCGGCAUGCCUAACACAUGCAAGUCGAACGGCAGCACAGCAGUAGCAAUACUGUGGGUGGCGAGUGGCGGACGGGUGAGGAAUACGUCGGAAUCUGCCCAGUCGUGGGGGAUAACUAGCCGAAAGGUUAGCUAAUACCGCAUACGACCGAGAGGUGAAAGCGGGGGACCGCAAGGCCUCGCGCGAUUGGAUGAGCCGACGUCGGAUUAGCUAGUUGGCGGGGUAAAGGCCUACCAAGGCGACGAUCCGUAGCUGGUCUGAGAGGAUGAUCAGCCACACUGGAACUGAGACACGGUCCAGACUCCUACGGGAGGCAGCAGUGGGGAAUAUUGGACAAUGGGCGCAAGCCUGAUCCAGCAAUGCCGCGUGUGUGAAGAAGGCCUGCGGGUUGUAAAGCACUUUUGUUCGGGAAGAAAUCAUGUCGGUUAAUACCCGAUGUGGAUGACGGUACCGAAAGAAUAAGCACCGGCUAACUUCGUGCCAG
RNAcentral lists this ribosomal RNA (494 nucleotides) under uncultured bacterium. RNAcentral's name for it is "bacterial SSU rRNA". It matches the Rfam family "Bacterial small subunit ribosomal RNA", at positions 28 to 511 of the family's 1533-position model. The record is from RNAcentral.